Molecule: transfer RNA, 72 nt
Filed under: Thermoleophilia bacterium
Lineage: Bacteria; Bacillati; Actinomycetota; Thermoleophilia
Also listed under: 1 other name
Description: tRNA-Val
Rfam family: tRNA
About the family: Transfer RNA (tRNA) molecules are approximately 80 nucleotides in length. Their secondary structure includes four short double-helical elements and three loops (D, anti-codon, and T loops). Further hydrogen bonds mediate the characteristic L-shaped molecular structure. tRNAs have two regions of fundamental functional importance: the anti-codon, which is responsible for specific mRNA codon recognition, and the 3' end, to which the tRNAs corresponding amino acid is attached (by aminoacyl-tRNA synthetases). tRNAs cope with the degeneracy of the genetic code in two manners: having more than one tRNA (with a specific anti-codon) for a particular amino acid; and 'wobble' base-pairing, i.e. permitting non-standard base-pairing at the 3rd anti-codon position.
Source: RNAcentral
GGGCGGUUAGCUCAGCGGUAGAGCACCUGCUUUACACGCAGGUGGCCGGCGGUUCAAAUCCGUCACCGCCCA